This 2113-nucleotide ribosomal RNA is filed under the name human gut metagenome. RNAcentral's name for it is "bacterial LSU rRNA". It matches the Rfam family "Bacterial large subunit ribosomal RNA", at positions 829 to 2925 of the family's 2925-position model. The record is from RNAcentral.
CCAAUCGAACGUGGAGAUAGCUGGUUCUCCCCGAAAUAGCUUUAGGGCUAGCCUCAUGGUAAGAGUACAGGCGGUAGAGCACUGAACGAGGUAGGGGCCUGUCCGGCUACCGAACUUAAUCAAACUGCGAAUGGCUGUACUUAUACAUGGGAGUCAGACUGCGAGUAAUAAGGCCCGUAGUCAAGAGGGAAACAGCCCAGACCAACAGCUAAGGUCCCCAAUGCCGUACUAAGUGGCGAAGGAUGUGGAAUUUCGAAAACAACCAGGAUGUUGGCUUAGAAGCAGCCACCAUUAAAAGAGUGCGUAAUAGCUCACUGGUCGAGAGACUCUGCGCCGAAGAUGACCGGGGCUAAAGUACGGAACCGAAGCUUUGGCAAGUAUCUUGAGAUACUUGGGUAGGGGAGCGUUCCUGCAUGGGAGAAGCCUGACCGGAAGGACAGGUGGACAGGCAGGAAGAGAGAAUGCCGGUAUGAGUAGCGAAAAGAAAGGUGAGAAUCCUUUCCACCGAAAGCCUAAGGGUUCCUGGGCAACGAUCGUCGACCCAGGGUAAGUCGGGACCUAAUCCGAGGCGGAGACGCGUAGGAGAUGGACAACAGGUUGAAAAUCCUGUACCGCAGGAGUCUGUUUGAGCGAAGGAGUGACACAGAAAGGAAUGCGCGCGUGCGAUUGGAAGAGCACGUCCAAGCUGGUAGGUUGUGUGGCAGGCAAAUCCGCCAUACUAAAAGCCGAGAAGUGAUGGGGAGCCAUUGGAGACAAUGGCGAAGGGGCAGGAACUAGGCUGUCGAGAAAAGCUUCUAGUGAGGACUCAGGCGCCCGUACCGAAACCGACACAGGUAGGCAGGAAGAGAAUUCUAAGGUGCGCGGGAAAACCCUCGUUAAGGAACUCGGCAAAAUGUAUCCGUAACUUCGGGAAAAGGAUAGCCUAAAGUAUGUGAGCUGCAGAAACGCAGGGAGCAGGAAUAGGCGGCAGAAGAGAGGCCCAAGCGACUGUUUACCACAAACACAGGCGUCUGCUAAAGCGAAAGCUGACGUAUAGAUGCUGACACCUGCCCGGUGCUGGAAGGUUAAGAGGACGUGUUAGCCGAAAGGCGAAGCAGAGAAUUGAAGCCCCAGUAAACGGCGGCCGUAACUAUAACGGUCCUAAGGUAGCGAAAUUCCUUGUCGGGUAAGUUCCGACCCGCACGAAAGGUGUAACGAUUUGGGCACUGUCUCAACGAGGGACCCGGUGAAAUUGAAGUACCUGUGAAGAUGCAGGUUACCCGCGACUGGACAGAAAGACCCCAUGGAGCUUUACUGUAACCUGAGAUUGGAUUCCGGUAAGAGAUGUACAGGAUAGUUGGGAGGCUGAGAAACGGGUACGCCAGUAUCCGCAGAGCCGCUGGUGGGAUACCAACCUUGUUUUAUUGGGAUUCUAACGAGAGACGUAACGAGUCUUUGGACAGUCUCAGGCGGGCAGUUUGACUGGGGCGGUCGCCUCCGAAAGAGCAACGGAGGCGCCCAAAGGUUCCCUCAGCGCGGACGGAAACCGCGCGAAGAGUGUAAAGGCAGAAGGGAGCUUGACUGCGAGACGGACAGGUCGAGCAGGGACGAAAGUCGGGCUUAGUGAUCCGGUGGUAGAGAGUGGAAUUGCCAUCGCUCAACGGAUAAAAGCUACCCUGGGGAUAACAGGCUUAUCUCUCCCAAGAGUCCAUAUCGACGGGGAGGUUUGGCACCUCGAUGUCGGCUCAUCACAUCCUGGGGCUGAAGUAGGUCCCAAGGGUUGGGCUGUUCGCCCAUUAAAGUGGUACGCGAGCUGGGUUCAGAACGUCGUGAGACAGUUCGGUCCCUAUCCAUCGCGGGCGGAAGAAACUUGAAAGGGGCUGCUCCUAGUACGAGAGGACCGGAGUGGACGGACCAAUGGUGUACCAGUCAUGGCGCCAGCCGUGCAGCUGGGUAGCUACGUCCGGGACGGAUAAACGCUGAAAGCAUCUAAGCGUGAAACCAGCCUAAAGAUGAGGUUUCUCAUUGUGAAAGCAAGUAAGGUCCCAUGAAGACGACAUGGUAGAUAGGCCGGGAGUGGAAGUGCAGUGAUGCACGGAGCGGACCGGUACUAAUAGACCGAGGGCUUGACUUA